Molecule: long non-coding RNA, 272 nt
Filed under: Nicotiana benthamiana
Lineage: Eukaryota; Viridiplantae; Streptophyta; Magnoliopsida; Solanales; Solanaceae
Description: long non-coding RNA (NBEN_LNC034282)
Source: RNAcentral
CUCUCCCGGAAUAACCUUGCAGUCCUUGCACAUACCCCUAUCGCUCCUUCUGAGGAGGAGGUAAUCAAUCUAAGUCCUCGCCGCCGAACUCUUGAAGGUGACCAAAUGCUCCUCCCUCUUUUGAAAUGUCGAGUUCGCAAUCAGAAGCUCGGAAGCCCUGGCGAAGUCAAGCAGUGACGUGCCUCCUCCGUUCCUAACCCCAAAGCCGAGCCCACCGUGCACCUCACCAUAACCACCAGCAUCAGCCCCAAUAUGACCAUUAAAGUCCCCUC